AAUAGAUACCCAGGUAGUCCACGCCGUAAACGAUGAGUGCUAAGUGUUGGGGGGUUUCCGCCCCCUCAGUGCUGCAGCUAACGCAUUAAGCACUCCGCCUGGGGGAGUACGGUCGCAAGACUGAAACUCAAAGGAAUUGACGGGGGCCCGCACAAGCGGUGGAGCAUGUGGUUUAAUUCGAAGCAACGCGAAGAACCUUACCAGGUCUUGACAUCCCGGUGAUCACUAUGGAGACAUAGUUUCCCCUUCGGGGGCAACGGUGACAGGUGGUGCAUGGUUGUCGUCAGCUCGUGUCGUGAGAUGUUGGGUUAAGUCCCGCAACGAGCGCAACCCUUAUUCUUAGUUGCCAUCAUUCAGUUGGGCACUCUAAGGAGACUGCCGGUGAUAAACCGGAGGAAGGUGGGGAUGACGUCAAAUCAUCAUGCCCCUUAUGACCUGGGCUACACACGUGCUACAAUGGACGGUACAAACGGUUGCCAACCCGCGAGGGGAGCUAAUCCGAUAAAACCGUUCUCAGUUCGGAUUGUAGGCUGCAACUCGCCUAC
This 545-nucleotide ribosomal RNA is filed under the name uncultured bacterium. Its description in RNAcentral is "bacterial SSU rRNA". It matches the Rfam family "Bacterial small subunit ribosomal RNA", at positions 777 to 1319 of the family's 1533-position model. The record is from RNAcentral.